This 101-nucleotide transfer RNA is filed under the name Vanderwaltozyma polyspora DSM 70294. It matches the Rfam family "tRNA". From Rfam's summary of the family: Transfer RNA (tRNA) molecules are approximately 80 nucleotides in length. Their secondary structure includes four short double-helical elements and three loops (D, anti-codon, and T loops). Further hydrogen bonds mediate the characteristic L-shaped molecular structure. tRNAs have two regions of fundamental functional importance: the anti-codon, which is responsible for specific mRNA codon recognition, and the 3' end, to which the tRNAs corresponding amino acid is attached (by aminoacyl-tRNA synthetases). tRNAs cope with the degeneracy of the genetic code in two manners: having more than one tRNA (with a specific anti-codon) for a particular amino acid; and 'wobble' base-pairing, i.e. permitting non-standard base-pairing at the 3rd anti-codon position. The record is from Rfam by way of RNAcentral. Lineage: Eukaryota; Fungi; Ascomycota; Saccharomycetes; Saccharomycetales; Saccharomycetaceae.
GUCCCAGUGGCCGAGUGGUUAAGGCGAUGCCCUGCUAUUUCCAAGAAAAAGCUGUAAGGCAUUGGGUUUUACCUUCGCAGGUUCGAAUCCUGUCUGUGACG